CCUACGGGUGGCAGCAGUGGGGAAUAUUGCACAAUGGGGGAAACCCUGAUGCAGCGACGCCGCGUGAGUGAAGAAGUAAUUCGUUACGUAAAGCUCUAUCAGCAGGGAAGAAAUUCUGACCUUACGGUCAGCAGACGGUACCUGAGUAAGAAGCUCCGGCUAACUACGUGCCAGCAGCCGCGGUAAUACGUAGGGGGCAAGCGUUAUCCGGAUUUACUGGGUGUAAAGGGAGCGUAGGCGGUGCGUCAAGUCUGGUGUGAAAGGCCGGAGCUUAACGGUGGAACUGCUUUGGAGACUGGCGAACUAGAGUGCGGGAGGGGUAAGCGGAAUUCCUGGUGUAGCGGUGAAAUGCGUAGAUAUUAGGAGGAACACCGGUGGCGAAGGCGGGUUACUGGACCGUAACUGACGUUGAGGCUCGAAAGCGUGGGGAGCGAACAGGAUUAGAUACCCUAGUAGUC
This 458-nucleotide ribosomal RNA is filed under the name uncultured bacterium. RNAcentral's name for it is "partial 16S ribosomal RNA". It matches the Rfam family "Bacterial small subunit ribosomal RNA", at positions 338 to 795 of the family's 1533-position model. The record is from RNAcentral.